AUUGAACGCUGGCGGCAGGCCUAACACAUGCAAGUCGAGCGGAUGAAGGGUGCUUGCUCCUGGAUUCAGCGUCGCACGGGUGAGUAAUGCCCAUGAAUCUCCCUGGUAGUGGUGUAUAAUGUCCUGAAACGGGCGCUAAUACCGCAUACGUCCUGCGGGAGAUACUUGGGGGUCUUUGGACCUCACCCUAUCAUGUGAGUGUAGGCCGGAUUAGAUAGCUGGUUGGGUAAAGGCCUACCAAGGCGAGGAUCCGUAACUGGUCUGAGAGGAUGAUCAGUCGCCUUGGAACUUAGACGCGGUCCAGGGUACUAAGGGAGGCAGCAGUGGGGAACAUUGGACAGUGGUGGAGAGCCUGAUACAGUCAGGGCGCGUGUGAGAAGAAGAUGUUCGGAGUGUAAAGCACUUUAAGUUGGGGUGAAGGGCAGUAAGUUAAUACGUUGCUGUUUUGACGUUACCAACAGAAUAAGCACCGGCUAACUUCGUG
RNAcentral lists this ribosomal RNA (484 nucleotides) under uncultured bacterium. RNAcentral describes it as "partial 16S ribosomal RNA". It matches the Rfam family "Bacterial small subunit ribosomal RNA", at positions 30 to 507 of the family's 1533-position model. The record is from RNAcentral.